CUGCAUUUCGAGUGCUAAACCAUUUGAGGCGGUAUUACUGAAGCCCUGCUGCCCUUAUGUAAACCAGUUAUCCUUCUCCCUUUCUAAAUAGAGAAUCCCUUGAGGAAUGGAAUGCCUUCCUAAGCCCCUGCGGUCCGGCCGCAUUAGGUUAGGGAGCUGGGCGAUAAUAGCUCCUCCGCAUCUCAAGCGAACCGCCCUACCUUACUUUGGAUAGGGAUAGAAGGGAGAAGGUUGUGAAGGUGGCCUCGUUAUCCACACAUCUGGUCGGAUGAAUGGAGGACCGACCGACCUGGGUUUUCACGAUCGUUGGCGGGUCCUGGAGUGCCCGUCAAGGGCGCUAGCGCAUACCCCGGGGUGUUUUUUUUUGCAUCCCAAUCAGUAUUUCUCUCCAAAGCCCGCUCUCCUCUGGUUUCAAUCUCCAUAACAGCUUGGCAGAUAGUGCUUUGUUUGCCCAUGUUUCGAAUUCCAAGGCCGCUUUUUGUCACUUUCUUUUUACCGAUU
Molecule: long non-coding RNA, 501 nt
Filed under: Elaeis guineensis (African oil palm)
Lineage: Eukaryota; Viridiplantae; Streptophyta; Magnoliopsida; Arecales; Arecaceae
Description: long non-coding RNA (EGUI_LNC055214)
Source: RNAcentral